AAUCAUGUGGGUUAAACGACCAUGGACCUUCUCUGUGGGUUCUAAAAUUGCCCAAAAAUCCCUCUCUUCAUCUCCUCCUAUAACAAUUUGGGCUAUUAUUUUCUGAGGACCAUAUGAUUGGCCUUAUUUGAUGACAUCAAGAAUCCAUCUUACUCGAUCUAGUCUCUCUCGGAUUGGAUAUUUGUGUCUUGAUGGAUCGGGCUUUAUUUCUAGGUUUCAUCUCUAUUUUCUUGGUUAAGGCUU
Molecule: long non-coding RNA, 243 nt
Filed under: Carica papaya (papaya)
Lineage: Eukaryota; Viridiplantae; Streptophyta; Magnoliopsida; Brassicales; Caricaceae
Description: long non-coding RNA (CPAP_LNC005338)
Source: RNAcentral